RNAcentral lists this ribosomal RNA (944 nucleotides) under uncultured bacterium. Its description in RNAcentral is "bacterial SSU rRNA". It matches the Rfam family "Bacterial small subunit ribosomal RNA", at positions 434 to 1397 of the family's 1533-position model. The record is from RNAcentral.
UUUUCUUAGGGAAAAANUUNGNGAUGGUACCUAAGGAAUNAGAGGCUGCUAACUUCGUGCCAGCAGCAGCGGUAAUACGAAGGCCUCAAGCGUUAUCCGGAUUUAUUGGGUGUAAAGAGCUCACAGGUGGCCAGUUAAGUCUUUAGUUAAAUCUUGAUGCUCAACAUCAAGGCUGCUAAAGAAACUGACAGGCUAGAGGGUAGAAGAGGUAAGCGGAAUGGCCGGUGUAGUAGUAAAAUGCGUUAAUAUCGGUUAGAACACCAAAGGCGAAGGCAGCUUACUGGUAUACUCCUGACACUAUAUGAGCGAAAGCGUGGGUAGCGAAUGGGAUUAGAUACCCCAGUAGUCCACGCCCUAAAUGAUGAAUGCUAGGCAUUGGGAGUAUCGACCCUUCCAGUGUCGUUCAAGUUAACACGUUAAGCAUUCCACCUGGGGAGUACGGCCGCAAGGCUAAAACUCAAAGGAAUUGACGGGAACCCGCACAAGCGGUGGAGCAUGUGGUUCAAUUCGACAAUAAGCGAGGAACCUUACCAGGGCUUGAAAUCUAGCUGCACGCCCAGCGAAAGUUGGGAAUCCUUCGAGGGUGCUAGACAGGUGCUGCAUGGUUGUCGUCAGCUCGUGUCGUGAGAUGUCGGGUUAAGUCCUUUAACGAGCGCAACCCCCAUCAGAUGUUAAAAUGUUCAUCUGAAACCGCUGCCUUUAAGGCAGAGGAAGAAGGGGACGACGUCAAAUCAGCAUGGUCCUCUGACGCCCUGGGCCACACACGUGCUACAAUGGCCAGUAACAAUGGGUUGCCAAACCGAGAGGUGGAGCUAAUCCCAUCAAACCUGGUCUCAGUUCGGAUUGAGGGCUGCAACUCGCCCUCAUGAAGCUGGAAUCGCUAGUAACCGCGAAUCAGCCUCGUCGCGGUGAAUACGUUCCCGGGUUUUGUACACACCGCCCGU